This 376-nucleotide ribosomal RNA is filed under the name uncultured organism. RNAcentral's name for it is "partial 16S ribosomal RNA". It matches the Rfam family "Archaeal small subunit ribosomal RNA", at positions 477 to 851 of the family's 1478-position model. The record is from RNAcentral.
CGGCAGCCCAAGUGAUGGCCGAUAUUAUUGGGCCUAAAGCGUCCGUAGCUGGCCGGACAAGUCCGUUGGGAAAUCCGCACGCUUAACGUGCGGGCGUCCAGCGGAAACUGUCCGGCUUGGGACCGGAAGACCCGAGGGGUACGUCCGGGGUAGGAGUGAAAUCCUGUAAUCUCGGACGGACCACCUGUGGCGAAAGCGCCUCGGGAAGACGGAUCCGACAGUGAGGGACGAAAGCCAGGGUCUCGAACCGGAUUAGAUACCCGGGUAGUCCUGGCCGUAAACGAUGUCCGCUAGGUGUGACGCAGGCUACGAGCCCUGCGUUGUGCCGUAGGGAAGCCGUGAAGCGGACCGCCUGGGAAGUACGUCUGCAAGGAUG